UACGAAGGGGGCUAGCGUUGUUCGGAAUUACUGGGCGUAAAGCGCGCGCGGGCGGCGGACUUAGUCAGAGGUGAAAGGCCUGGGCUCAACCUGGGAAUGGCCUUUGAUACUGGUCUGCUGGAGGCCGGAAGAGGGUAGUGGAACUCCCAGUGUAGAGGUGAAAUUCGUAGAUAUUGGGAAGAACACCGGUGGCGAAGGCGGCUACCUGGUCCGGAUCUGACGCUGAGGCGCGAAAGCGUGGGGAGCAAACAGG
RNAcentral lists this ribosomal RNA (253 nucleotides) under uncultured bacterium. Its description in RNAcentral is "partial 16S ribosomal RNA". It matches the Rfam family "Bacterial small subunit ribosomal RNA", at positions 524 to 776 of the family's 1533-position model. The record is from RNAcentral.